This 665-nucleotide ribosomal RNA is filed under the name Polyporales sp. 2 SR-2012. Its description in RNAcentral is "eukaryotic LSU rRNA". The stretch from base 239 to 392 matches the Rfam family "5.8S ribosomal RNA". The record is from RNAcentral. Lineage: Eukaryota; Fungi; Basidiomycota; Agaricomycetes; Polyporales.
AACCUGCGGAAGGAUCAUUAUCGAGUUUUGAAAAGGGUUGUAGCUGGCCUUCGGCAACAAGUCGGAGGCAUGUGCACGCCUGGCUCAUCCACUCUCAAACCCCUGUGCACCUUUUGUAGGCUUCGGCAGAGAGGACUGACUUCGGUCGGUUCAGGAAGCCUUGUGCCUAUGUCACACAUACAAACGCUUCAGUUUAGAAUGUAACGAAUCGUGCGCCUCGGUGCAACGAAAUAAAUACAACUUUCAGCAACGGAUCUCUUGGCUCUCGCAUCGAUGAAGAACGCAGCGAAAUGCGAUAAGUAAUGUGAAUUGCAGAAUUCAGUGAAUCAUCGAAUCUUUGAACGCACCUUGCGCUCCUUGGUAUUCCGAGGAGCAUGCCUGUUUGAGUGUCAUGAAAUUCUCAACCUUUGAAGCUUUUUUUUGAGCUCGCAAAGGCUUGGACUUGGAGGUCGUGUCGGCUCGUAACAAAGUCGACUCCUCUGAAAUGCAUUAGUGUGAAACCUUCGCAGGAUCGCCUUCGGUGUGAUAAUUGUCUACGCCGUCGGUCGUGAAAGUCGAAACAUACGUGUUCACGCUUCUAAUCGUCCGUCGAGGACAAACUUUUUUCUUGACCAUCUGACCUCAAAUCAGGUAGGACUACCCGCUGAACUUAAGCAUAUCAAUAA